RNAcentral lists this ribosomal RNA (560 nucleotides) under uncultured bacterium. RNAcentral describes it as "partial 16S ribosomal RNA". It matches the Rfam family "Bacterial small subunit ribosomal RNA", at positions 355 to 907 of the family's 1533-position model. The record is from RNAcentral.
UGGGGAAUAUUGCACAAUGGGCGCAAGCCUGAUGCAGCCAUGCCGCGUGUGUGAAGAAGGCCUUCGGGUUGUAAAGCACUUUCAGCGAGGAGGAAGGUGGUGAACUUAAUACGUUCAUCAAUUGACGUUACUCGCAGAAGAAGCACCGGCUAACUCCGUACCAGCAGCCGCGGUAAUACGGAGGGUGAAGCGUUAAUCGGAAUUACUGGGCGUAAAGCGCACGCAGGCGGUUUGUUAAGUCAGAUGUGAAAUCCCCGGGCUCAACCUGGGAACUGCAUUUGAAACUGGCAAGCUAGAGUCUCGUAGAGGGGGGUAGAAUUCCAGGUGUAGCGGUGAAAUGCGUAGAGAUCUGGAGGAAUACCGGUGGCGAAGGCGGCCCCCUGGACGAAGACUGACGCUCAGGUGCGAAAGCGUGGGGAGCAAACAGGAUUAGAUACCCUGGUAGUCCACGCUGUAAACGAUGUCGAUUUUGGAGGUUGUGCCCUUGAGGCGUGGCUUCCGGAGCUAACGCGUUAAAUCGACCGCCUGGGGAGUACGGCCGCAAGGUUAAAACUUAAAGG